RNAcentral lists this ribosomal RNA (529 nucleotides) under uncultured bacterium. RNAcentral describes it as "bacterial SSU rRNA". It matches the Rfam family "Bacterial small subunit ribosomal RNA", at positions 777 to 1304 of the family's 1533-position model. The record is from RNAcentral.
AAUAGAUACCCUGGUAGUCCACGCCGUAAACGGUGAGUGCUAAGUGUUAGGGGGUUUCCGCCCCUUAGUGCUGCAGCUAACGCAUUAAGCACUCCGCCUGGGGAGUACGGUCGCAAGACUGAAACUCAAAGGAAUUGACGGGGGCCCGCACAAGCGGUGGAGCAUGUGGUUUAAUUCGAAGCAACGCGAAGAACCUUACCAGGUCUUGACAUCCCGUUGACCACUGUAGAGAUAUAGUUUCCCCUUCGGGGGCAACGGUGACAGGUGGUGCAUGGUUGUCGUCAGCUCGUGUCGUGAGAUGUUGGGUUAAGUCCCGCAACGAGCGCAACCCUUGAUCUUAGUUGCCAUCAUUUAGUUGGGCACUCUAAGGUGACUGCCGGUGACAAACCGGAGGAAGGUGGGGAUGACGUCAAAUCAUCAUGCCCCUUAUGACCUGGGCUACACACGUGCUACAAUGGACGAUACAAACGGUUGCCAACUCGCGAGAGGGAGCUAAUCCGAUAAAGUCGUUCUCAGUUCGGAUUGUAGG